GGUUAAGCGACUAAGCGUACACGGUGGAUGCCCUGGCAGUCAGAGGCGAUGAAGGACGUGCUAAUCUGCGAUAAGCGUCGGUAAGGUGAUAUGAACCGUUAUAACCGGCGAUUUCCGAAUGGGGAAACCCAGUGUGAUUCGUCACACUAUCAUUACGUGAAUACAUAGCGUAAUGAAGCGAACCGGGGGAACUGAAACAUCUAAGUACCCCGAGGAAAAGAAAUCAACCGAGAUUCCCCCAGUAGCGGCGAGCGAACGGGGAGCAGCCCAGAGUCUGAAUCAGCUUGUGUGUUAGUGGAACGGUCUGGAAAGUCCGACGGUACAGGGUGAUAGUCCCGUACACCAAAAUGCACAGGUUGUGAACUCGAAGAGUAGGGCGGGACACGUGGUAUCCUGUCUGAAUAUGGGGGGACCAUCCUCCAAGGCUAAAUACUCCUGACUGACCGAUAGUGAACCAGUACCGUGAGGGAAAGGCGAAAAGAACCCCGGCGAGGGGAGUGAAAAAGAACCUGAAACCGUGUACGUACAAGCAGUGGGAGCCUCUUUAUGGGGUGACUGCGUACCUUUUGUAUAAUGGGUCAGCGACUUAUAUUCUGUAGCAAGGUUAACCGUAUAGGGGAGCCGAAGGGAAACCGAGUCUUAACUGGGCGUUAAGUUGCAGGGUAUAGACCCGAAACCCGGUGAUCUAGCCAUGGGCAGGUUGAAGGUUGGGUAACACUAACUGGAGGACCGAACCGACUAAUGUUGAAAAAUUAGCGGAUGACUUGUGGCUGGGGGUGAAAGGCCAAUCAAACCGGGAGAUAGCUGGUUCUCCCCGAAAGCUAUUUAGGUAGCGCCUCGUGAACUCAUCUUCGGGGGUAGAGCACUGUUUCGGCUAGGGGGUCAUCCCGACUUACCAACCCGAUGCAAACUGCGAAUACCGAAGAAUGUUAUCACGGGAGACACACGGCGGGUGCUAACGUCCGUCGUGAAGAGGGAAACAACCCAGACCGCCAGCUAAGGUCCCAAAGUCAUGGUUAAGUGGGAAACGAUGUGGGAAGGCACAGACAGCCAGGAUGUUGGCUUAGAAGCAGCCAUCAUUUAAAGAAAGCGUAAUAGCUCACUGGUCGAGUCGGCCUGCGCGGAAGAUGUAACGGGGCUAAACCAUGCACCGAAGCUGCGGCAGCGACACUAUGUGUUGUUGGGUAGGGGAGCGUUCUGUAAGCCGUUGAAGGUGUAUCGUGAGGUAUGCUGGAGGUAUCAGAAGUGCGAAUGCUGACAUAAGUAACGAUAAUGCGGGUGAAAAACCCGCACGCCGGAAGACCAAGGGUUCCUGUCCAACGUUAAUCGGGGCAGGGUGAGUCGACCCCUAAGGCGAGGCCGAAAGGCGUAGUCGAUGGGAAACAGGUUAAUAUUCCUGUACUUGGUG
RNAcentral lists this ribosomal RNA (1408 nucleotides) under Citrobacter freundii. Its description in RNAcentral is "partial 23S ribosomal RNA". It matches the Rfam family "Bacterial large subunit ribosomal RNA", at positions 1 to 1450 of the family's 2925-position model. Lineage: Bacteria; Pseudomonadati; Pseudomonadota; Gammaproteobacteria; Enterobacterales; Enterobacteriaceae. The record is from RNAcentral.